RNAcentral lists this transfer RNA (71 nucleotides) under Candidatus Zhuqueibacterota bacterium. RNAcentral's name for it is "candidate division KSB1 bacterium (marine metagenome) tRNA-Ile". It matches the Rfam family "tRNA". Rfam says of the family: Transfer RNA (tRNA) molecules are approximately 80 nucleotides in length. Their secondary structure includes four short double-helical elements and three loops (D, anti-codon, and T loops). Further hydrogen bonds mediate the characteristic L-shaped molecular structure. tRNAs have two regions of fundamental functional importance: the anti-codon, which is responsible for specific mRNA codon recognition, and the 3' end, to which the tRNAs corresponding amino acid is attached (by aminoacyl-tRNA synthetases). tRNAs cope with the degeneracy of the genetic code in two manners: having more than one tRNA (with a specific anti-codon) for a particular amino acid; and 'wobble' base-pairing, i.e. permitting non-standard base-pairing at the 3rd anti-codon position. The record is from RNAcentral. Lineage: Bacteria; Pseudomonadati.
CUUCGCGUAGCACAAUGGCAGUGCACUCGGCUGAUAUCCGAGAGAAGAUGGUUCGAUUCCAUCCGCGAGGA